This is a long non-coding RNA of Rhipicephalus microplus (southern cattle tick), 412 nucleotides long. The record is from RefSeq and is a predicted model, not a curated record. NCBI's taxonomy places the organism in Eukaryota, Metazoa, Arthropoda, Arachnida, Ixodida, Ixodidae.
CACACAAGCCUGCUCCAAUGGCUUCGCGGUUCGAACAGAUGUCGUGUACCGGAUGACCUGUGGACAUGCCUCCAGAGAACAUGGCCUUGUUCGUAACUGUAGGAAUUCCAACAAGGCUUCAUGGUCAUGUGCUUCACGCUGCACCAAGGCAAUUUCCACGGCGCGUACAAACGCUUGUUCACCUUCCGAGCACUCCUGUUGAUUGUUGUCCUGGGAGCCCUGGCGUACAUUAUUUCUUCCAUCGCCAGUCGUGCUCCCCAAGUGAAGACUUAUGAGCCACUCGUCUCCACAUCUACGGAGUCCUCGGCCGAACAGGACAGAAUCACGCGUGUUAGAACAAUUUAUAUUUACGAUACUUUCUGAUUAUAACAUGGUUUUUCGGAAAUAACAAUAAAAACAUUUUUAGCUUCUG